Small nuclear RNA from Columba livia (rock pigeon), 107 nucleotides. The record is from RefSeq and is a predicted model, not a curated record. Lineage: Eukaryota; Metazoa; Chordata; Aves; Columbiformes; Columbidae.
GUGCUCACUUCAGCAGCACAUAAACUAAAACUGGAACCAUGCGGAGGAGAUCAGUAUUGCUCCUGCACAAAGACAACAUGCAAAUUAAUGGAAUAUUCCAUAUUUUA